UUUUUAAAUUGCUGUGGUAUUUUGACUAUACAAAGGUAUUGAAAUAAGACUUUAAUUGAGUGCUAAGAGAAUGGACUUACAAAAAAAAUCUUUCUAGAAAUUCAAAAAUCAAAGUUUUUUCUUUUGUGCAGAAACAACAAUAUUAAUUAAGGACAAGAAGACCCUAAGAAUUUUAAAAACUGUAAUUGUAAAACUAUUAAUUAUAGUUUUUUGAUUGGGGCGAUUGAUAAAUAUAAAAAACUUUAUUUAAAAAAUAAAAAAUGAACCAGUAAUACUGGUUUGAUGAACAAAAAUACUCUAGGGAUAACAGCGUAAUAAUUUUUAAUAGCUCUUAUUGACAAAAUAGUUUGCGACCUCGAUGUUGGAUUAGGAUUCUUUUUUGAUGAAGAAGUCAAAAGAAGAAGUUUGUUCAACUUUUAAAUUCCUACUUGAUCUGAGUCCA
Molecule: ribosomal RNA, 442 nt
Filed under: Amblyomma ovale
Lineage: Eukaryota; Metazoa; Arthropoda; Arachnida; Ixodida; Ixodidae
Description: partial 16S ribosomal RNA
Rfam family: Bacterial large subunit ribosomal RNA (bases 151-442)
Source: RNAcentral